Molecule: ribosomal RNA, 134 nt
Filed under: Periophthalmus magnuspinnatus
Lineage: Eukaryota; Metazoa; Chordata; Actinopteri; Gobiiformes; Gobiidae
Source: RNAcentral
AAAAGUGCUCUUACUAUACAGUUAACAUGCAGCUUGUCAGAGAUAUCAUCAGAUCUAAGACAGCAGGGUAAGCAGGGUUGGGCCUGGUUAGUACUUAGAUGGAAGACCAAUGGGAAAACCAGGAGCCACAGUGA